This 672-nucleotide ribosomal RNA is filed under the name Escherichia coli. RNAcentral describes it as "partial 23S ribosomal RNA". It matches the Rfam family "Bacterial large subunit ribosomal RNA", at positions 2259 to 2925 of the family's 2925-position model. RNAcentral also lists the same sequence under 1 other name. Lineage: Bacteria; Pseudomonadati; Pseudomonadota; Gammaproteobacteria; Enterobacterales; Enterobacteriaceae. The record is from RNAcentral.
UGGUGGGUAGUUUGACUGGGGCGGUCUCCUCCUAAAGAGUAACGGAGGAGCACGAAGGUUGGCUAAUCCUGGUCGGACAUCAGGAGGUUAGUGCAAUGGCAUAAGCCAGCUUGACUGCGAGCGUGACGGCGCGAGCAGGUGCGAAAGCAGGUCAUAGUGAUCCGGUGGUUCUGAAUGGAAGGGCCAUCGCUCAACGGAUAAAAGGUACUCCGGGGAUAACAGGCUGAUACCGCCCAAGAGUUCAUAUCGACGGCGGUGUUUGGCACCUCGAUGUCGGCUCAUCACAUCCUGGGGCUGAAGUAGGUCCCAAGGGUAUGGCUGUUCGCCAUUUAAAGUGGUACGCGAGCUGGGUUUAGAACGUCGUGAGACAGUUCGGUCCCUAUCUGCCGUGGGCGCUGGAGAACUGAGGGGGGCUGCUCCUAGUACGAGAGGACCGGAGUGGACGCAUCACUGGUGUUCGGGUUGUCAUGCCAAUGGCACUGCCCGGUAGCUAAAUGCGGAAGAGAUAAGUGCUGAAAGCAUCUAAGCACGAAACUUGCCCCGAGAUGAGUUCUCCCUGACUCCCUGAGAGUCCUGAAGGAACGUUGAAGACGACGACGUUGAUAGGCCGGGUGUGUAAGCGCAGCGAUGCGUUGAGCUAACCGGUACUAAUGAACCGUGAGGCUUAACCUU